Molecule: ribosomal RNA, 891 nt
Filed under: Agaricus alboumbonatus
Lineage: Eukaryota; Fungi; Basidiomycota; Agaricomycetes; Agaricales; Agaricaceae
Description: partial large subunit ribosomal RNA
Rfam family: Eukaryotic large subunit ribosomal RNA
Source: RNAcentral
AGGAAAAGAAACUAACAAGGAUUCCCCUAGUAACUGCGAGUGAAGCGGGAAAAGCUCAAAUUUAAAAUCUGGCGGUCUCUGGCCGUCCGAGUUGUAAUCUAGAGAAGUAAUGCCCGUGCUGGACCGUGUAUAAGUCUCCUGGGAUGGGGCGUCAUAGAGGGUGAGAAUCCCGUCUUUGACACGGACUACCAGUGCAUUGUGGUAUGCUCUCAAAGAGUCGAGUUGUUUGGGAAUGCAGCUCAAAAUGGGUGGUAAAUUCCAUCUAAAGCUAAAUAUUGGCGAGAGACCGAUAGCGAACAAGUACCGUGAGGGAAAGAUGAAAAGAACUUUGGAAAGAGAGUUAAACAGUACGUGAAAUUGCUGAAAGGGAAACGCUUGAAGUCAGUCGCGUUGACCGGGGAUCAGCCUUGCUUUUGCAUGGUGUACUUUCUGGUUGACGGGUCAGCAUCAAUUUUGACCGCUGGAAAAAGACCUGGGGAAUGUGGCAGCUUCGGCUGUGUUAUAGCCCCUAGUCGCAUACAGUGGUUGGGAUUGAGGAACUCAGCACGCCGCAAGGCCGGGUUUCGACCACGUUCGUGCUUAGGAUGCUGGCAUAAUGGCUUUAAGCGACCCGUCUUGAAACACGGACCAAGGAGUCUAACAUGCCUGCGAGUAUUUGGGUGGAAAACCCAAGUGCGUAAUGAAAGUGAAAGUUGAGAUCCCUGUCGUGGGGAGCAUCGACGCCCGGACCAGAACUUUUGGGACGGAUCCGCGGUGGAGCAUGUAUGUUGGGACCCGAAAGAUGGUGAACUAUGCCUGAAUAGGGUGAAGCCAGAGGAAACUCUGGUGGAGGCUCGUAGCGAUUCUGACGUGCAAAUCGAUCGUCAAAUUUGGGUAUAGGGGCGAAAGACU